RNAcentral lists this ribosomal RNA (497 nucleotides) under uncultured bacterium. RNAcentral describes it as "partial 16S ribosomal RNA". It matches the Rfam family "Bacterial small subunit ribosomal RNA", at positions 28 to 507 of the family's 1533-position model. The record is from RNAcentral.
GAUGAACGCUGGCGGCGUGCCUAAUACAUGCAAGUCGAGCGAACGGACGAGAAGCUUGCUUCUCUGAUGUUAGCGGCGGACGGGUGAGUAACACGUGGAUAACCUACCUAUAAGACUGGGAUAACUUCGGGAAACCGGAGCUAAUACCGGAUGAUAUUUUGAACCGCAUGGUUCAAAAGUGAAAGACGGUCUUGCUGUCACUUAUAGAUGGAUCCGCGCUGCAUUAGCUAGUUGGUAAGGUAACGGCUUACCAAGGCAACGAUGCAUAGCCGACCUGAGAGGGUGAUCGGCCACACUGGAACUGAGACACGGUCCAGACUCCUACGGGUGGCAGCAGUAGGGAAUCUUCCGCAAUGGGCGAAAGCCUGACGGAGCAACGCCGCGUGAGUGAUGAAGGUCUUCGGAUCGUAAAACUCUGUUAUUAGGGAAGAACAUAUGUGUAAGUAACUGUGCACAUCUUGACGGUACCUAAUCAGAAAGCCACGGCUAACUACGUG